This is a long non-coding RNA of Triticum dicoccoides, 410 nucleotides long. RefSeq lists it as uncharacterized. The record is from RefSeq and is a predicted model, not a curated record. The transcript has 3 exons. Lineage: Eukaryota; Viridiplantae; Streptophyta; Magnoliopsida; Poales; Poaceae.
CGCCACUGUCCUCGCAUUCCUCAUCCUCUCCGUCUGGGCGGCGAUUCCUUCAGGCGGCGGCGAUUCUGGUGACAGAAGGCGGAGAGGAGAGAGCCGCAGCAGGUGUCGUGUGGGUUUUGUGGGAACUUUUUCCAGAAUGCCGAAGCUGUUGACUUCAACGUCCAUGGGACGAGUUCCGCUCUUCAGCGGCAGCGGCGAUUGUGGGGAGCGAGAAGGGAAGUGGAGGGGACCACCAUUCAAGUAUGUGAAGUACAUGCGAUUAAGUUAUAUGUGUUUUUUUUUUCAUUUGUUAGGCUAUAUGUGUGUUCAAUAUACUCUAAUGUGGUGGUAAUUUGUGUGUGCAGAGGAUUAGGUGAAAUGUUCAGUAGUUGAUUUUUGUAGUGUUGUUUGUAGUAUUCUACAUAUAUAAG